This 496-nucleotide ribosomal RNA is filed under the name uncultured bacterium. Its description in RNAcentral is "partial 16S ribosomal RNA". It matches the Rfam family "Bacterial small subunit ribosomal RNA", at positions 29 to 507 of the family's 1533-position model. The record is from RNAcentral.
AUGAACGCUGGCGGCGUGCCUAAUACAUGCAAGUCGAGCGAACAGAUGAGGAGCUUGCUCCUCUGACGUUAGCGGCGGACGGGUGAGUAACACGUGGAUAACCUACCUAUAAGACUGGGAUAACUUCGGGAAACCGGAGCUAAUACCGGAUAAUAUAUUGAACCGCAUGGUUCAAUAGUGAAAGACGGUUUUGCUGUCACUUAUAGAUGGAUCCGCGCCGCAUUAGCUAGGUGGUAAGGUAACGGCUUACCAAGGCAACGAUGCGUAGCCGACCUGAGAGGGUGAUCGGCCACACUGGAACUGAGACACGGUCCAGACUCCUACGGGAGGCAGCAGUAGGGAAUCUUCCGCAAUGGGCGAAAGCCUGACGGAGCAACGCCGCGUGAGUGAUGAAGGUCUUCGGAUCGUAAAACUCUGUUAUUAGGGAAGAACAAAUGUGUAAGUAACUAUGCACGUCUUGACGGUACCUAAUCAGAAAGCCACGGCUAACUACGUG